This 56-nucleotide transfer RNA is filed under the name Ovis aries (sheep). It matches the Rfam family "tRNA", at positions 8 to 63 of the family's 71-position model. From Rfam's summary of the family: Transfer RNA (tRNA) molecules are approximately 80 nucleotides in length. Their secondary structure includes four short double-helical elements and three loops (D, anti-codon, and T loops). Further hydrogen bonds mediate the characteristic L-shaped molecular structure. tRNAs have two regions of fundamental functional importance: the anti-codon, which is responsible for specific mRNA codon recognition, and the 3' end, to which the tRNAs corresponding amino acid is attached (by aminoacyl-tRNA synthetases). tRNAs cope with the degeneracy of the genetic code in two manners: having more than one tRNA (with a specific anti-codon) for a particular amino acid; and 'wobble' base-pairing, i.e. permitting non-standard base-pairing at the 3rd anti-codon position. The record is from Rfam by way of RNAcentral. Lineage: Eukaryota; Metazoa; Chordata; Mammalia; Artiodactyla; Bovidae.
UGGCUCAGUGGUAAAGCAACUGCCUGCAAUGCAGGAGACCCAGGUUCGAUCCCUGG